AAUGGGGGCAACCUUGAUCUAGCCAUGCCGCGUGAGUGAUGAAGGCCUUAGGGUCGUAAAGCUCUUUCGCCUGUGAUGAUAAUGACAGUAGCAGGUAAAGAAACCCCGGCUAACUCCGUGCCAGCAGCCGCGGUAAUACGGAGGGGGUUAGCGUUGUUCGGAAUUACUGGGCGUAAAGCGCGCGUAGGCGGAUUAGAAAGUUGGGGGUGAAAUCCCGGGGCUCAACCCCGGAACUGCCUCCAAAACUGCUAGUCUAGAGUUCGAGAGAGGUGAGUGGAAUUCCGAGUGUAGAGGUGAAAUUCGUAGAUAUUCGGAGGAACACCAGUGGCGAAGGCGGCUCACUGGCUCGAUACUGACGCUGAGGUGCGAAAGUGUGGGGAGCAAACAGGAUU
RNAcentral lists this ribosomal RNA (392 nucleotides) under uncultured Gammaproteobacteria bacterium. Its description in RNAcentral is "bacterial SSU rRNA". It matches the Rfam family "Bacterial small subunit ribosomal RNA", at positions 370 to 779 of the family's 1533-position model. The record is from RNAcentral. Lineage: Bacteria; Pseudomonadati; Pseudomonadota; Gammaproteobacteria.